GUAAUUUAAACGAAUGCAAUAUUGAUAUCCGCUUUCACAUUGUUUCCAAUACCACAUGCCAUUCAUAUGCUGUUACAUACAGAAACUCAACGAAACAUUGAAUUUAGCUUAAUUUGAAAAGUGGAAAAAGAAGAAAAAACUCGAUACUCUUAUUUAAUGUCACUACGCUCAUUGGCCGUAUGUCAAGUUGAAACGAUUAAGGUCAUGGGUUCACUGCAAAGGGUUUGUUCAUCACGAAAACAAGCGUUUAUUAAGCGCACCGAGAUAGACGAAGUUCCCUUUGAGCGGACCAUUCAGGAUGACUCAAUAUGAAGGAUAAAAGAUGCAAUCACAGAUGGGAAUCAACCGUCGGAGUAAAUAGACAAACUUGGUCGGCUUGUUUAAGGCACAGUAAACCGAUCCCGUUAGUAACGCUUUCUACGCAAGAGAGUUGCCGAUCAUUCAGCCUCAUCCGUCUGAAAGAUACUCGAUACAGAGAAAAUACAAGCUUAUACUUGCAAUUAUUCCCUUCAUUUUGCCGAUUUAGGAGAAUUCGGAGCGAAAAAUAAACAUUCGUUACAUUUCGAUAACAAAUUAACACAUUGCGUUCUGAUUCCCUAUUUUUAGUUAUCACUAUCAUGCACCUCGCCACUAUCUUUGGGUACAUUUCCAAGCCUUGCCUCUAUGGACAAACGAAAAUAGGUAUAUGUGAAAAGAAGUCCAAAU
Non-coding RNA from Schizosaccharomyces pombe (fission yeast), 705 nucleotides. NCBI's taxonomy places the organism in Eukaryota, Fungi, Ascomycota, Schizosaccharomycetes, Schizosaccharomycetales, Schizosaccharomycetaceae. The record is from the annotation of a GenBank genome assembly.